UCCAAGGCUAAAUACUCCUGACUGACCGAUAGUGAACCAGUACCGUGAGGGAAAGGCGAAAAGAACCCCGGCGAGGGGAGUGAAAAAGAACCUGAAACCGUGUACGUACAAGCAGUGGGAGCACGCUUAGGCGUGUGACUGCGUACCUUUUGUAUAAUGGGUCAGCGACUUAUAUUCUGUAGCAAGGUUAACCGAAUAGGGGAGCCGAAGGGAAACCGAGUCUUAACUGGGCGUUAAGUUGCAGGGUAUAGACCCGAAACCCGGUGAUCUAGCCAUGGGCAGGUUGAAGGUUGGGUAACACUAACUGGAGGACCGAACCGACUAAUGUUGAAAAAUUAGCGGAUGACUUGUGGCUGGGGGUGAAAGGCCAAUCAAACCGGGAGAUAGCUGGUUCUCCCCGAAAGCUAUUUAGGUAGCGCCUCGUGAAUUCAUCUCCGGGGGUAGAGCACUGUUUCGGCAAGGGGGUCAUCCCGACUUACCAACCCGAUGCAAACUGCGAAUACCGGAGAAUGUUAUCACGGGAGACACACGGCGGGUGCUAACGUCCGUCGUGAAGAGGGAAACAACCCAGACCGCCAGCUAAGGUCCCAAAGUCAUGGUUAAGUGGGAAACGAUGUGGGAAGGCCCAGACAGCCAGGAUGUUGGCUUAGAAGCAGCCAUCAUUUAAAGAAAGCGUAAUAGCUCACUGGUCGAGUCGGCCUGCGCGGAAGAUGUAACGGGGCUAAACCAUGCAC
Molecule: ribosomal RNA, 734 nt
Filed under: Escherichia coli
Lineage: Bacteria; Pseudomonadati; Pseudomonadota; Gammaproteobacteria; Enterobacterales; Enterobacteriaceae
Description: partial 23S ribosomal RNA
Rfam family: Bacterial large subunit ribosomal RNA
Source: RNAcentral